UACAGAGGGUGCGAGCGUUAAUCGGAAUUACUGGGCGUAAAGGGCGCGUAGGCGGUGUAUUAAGUUAGAUGUGAAAUCCCUGGGCUUAACCUAGGAACUGCAUCUGAUACUGGUAUGCUAGAGUGCUGUAGAGGGUAGUGGAAUUUCCGGUGUAGCGGUGAAAUGCGUAGAUAUCGGAAGGAACACCAGUGGCGAAGGCGGCUACCUGGACAGACACUGACGCUGAGGCGCGAGAGCGUGGGGAGCAAACAGG
RNAcentral lists this ribosomal RNA (253 nucleotides) under uncultured bacterium. Its description in RNAcentral is "partial 16S ribosomal RNA". It matches the Rfam family "Bacterial small subunit ribosomal RNA", at positions 524 to 776 of the family's 1533-position model. The record is from RNAcentral.